AGGACGAACGCUGGCGGCGUGCUUAACACAUGCAGGUCGAGCGGUAAGGCCUUUCGGGGUACACGAGCGGCGAACGGGUGAGUAACACGUGGGUGAUCUGCCCUGCACUCUGGGAUAAGCCUGGGAAACUGGGUCU
RNAcentral lists this ribosomal RNA (136 nucleotides) under uncultured soil bacterium. RNAcentral's name for it is "partial 16S ribosomal RNA". It matches the Rfam family "Bacterial small subunit ribosomal RNA", at positions 26 to 164 of the family's 1533-position model. The record is from RNAcentral.